This is a long non-coding RNA of Nanorana parkeri, 198 nucleotides long. RefSeq lists it as uncharacterized. The record is from RefSeq and is a predicted model, not a curated record. The transcript is spliced from 3 exons. Lineage: Eukaryota; Metazoa; Chordata; Amphibia; Anura; Dicroglossidae.
CAGGAGACUGUCAGAAGACCGGCUGCAGAUCGGCCAGGAGGUACAUGUGUUGAGCACAUUGCAAGGUGAAAUUAUUUACUAGGAAUGGAAAGAGAGUUUACCCCUCUGAAAUGUCUCCAGCCAUCAGAACAUUUAAACUGUGGACUUAUCAUUCUUAAUCAACCUCUGAACAACACUCUGUUACAUCAACUCUGGAGU